GACCCCCUCCCCAAAGACAAUGACGGCGGCCUGUGGUUCCCCGGUACACUGAGCUUUCAUCGAGCGCGUGUCGGAGAAGGGCGCCGGGACACGGUCCUCUCCUCUCACGAGGAAAUUUUAUCAAGGUUGACCUCGGAUCAGGUAGGAAUACGCGCUGAACUUAAGCAUAUCAAUAAGCGCAGGAAAAGAAACCAACAGGGAUUGCCUCAGUAACGGCGAGUGAAGCGGCAAUAGCUCAAAUUUGAAAUCUGGCCUCUUGAGGUCCGAGUUGUAAUUUGUAGAGGAUGUUUUGGGUACCGCCCCGGUUUAAAUUUCUUGGAACAGAAUGUCAGAGAGGGUGAGAAUCCCGUCUUGGACCGGCGUAGGGCCUGUGUAAGACUCCUUCGACGAGUCGAGUUGUUUGGGAAUGCAGCUCAAAAUGGGUGGUAAAUUUCAUCUAAAGCUAAAUAUUGGCCAGAGACCGAUAGCGCACAAGUAGAGUGAUCGAAAGAUGGAAAGCACUUUGAAAAGAGAGUUAAACAGUAUGUGAAAUUGUUGAAAGGGAAGCGCUGGCGACCAGACUUGAGCGCGACGGUUCCCCCAGCCUUUUGGCUGGGCUACUCCGUCGUGUCCAGGCCAACAUCGGUUCGGAGGGUCGGUUAAGGGCUCUGGGAAUGUACCUACUCACGGGUAGACUUAUAGACCAGGGUGUCAUGCGACCUCUCGGGACCGAGGAACGCGCUUCGGCUCGGAUGUUGGCGUAAUGGUUGUCAGCGACC
This 758-nucleotide ribosomal RNA is filed under the name uncultured fungus. Its description in RNAcentral is "eukaryotic LSU rRNA". The stretch from base 128 to 758 matches the Rfam family "Eukaryotic large subunit ribosomal RNA", at positions 1 to 649 of the family's 3401-position model. The record is from RNAcentral. Lineage: Eukaryota; Fungi.